Molecule: ribosomal RNA, 408 nt
Filed under: uncultured bacterium
Lineage: Bacteria
Description: partial 16S ribosomal RNA
Rfam family: Bacterial small subunit ribosomal RNA
Source: RNAcentral
GACGAACGCUGGCGGCGUGCCUAAUACAUGCAAGUCGAGCGAAGCGGCGGAUGGGUGAGUAACGCGUGGGUAACCUGCCCUUACGCCUGGGAUCCAAUUUGGAAACAGAUGCUAACACCGGAUCCUAAAGGAUGGACCUGCGAUGCAUUAGCUAGUUGGUAAGGUAACGGCUUACCAAGGCGAUGAUGCAUAUCUGGGUUGAGAGGCUGAGCGGCAACAUUGGGCCUGAGACACGGCCCAGACUCCUACGGUAGGCAGCAGUAGGGAAUCUUCCACAAUGGACGCAAGUCUGAUGGAGCGACGACGCGUGAGUGAAGAAGGUUUUCGGAUCGUAAAGUUCUGUUGUUGGUGAAGCGGUAAUCAACCAGAAAGUCACGGCUAACUACGUGCCAGCAGCCGCGGUAAUAC